This is a long non-coding RNA of Xyrauchen texanus (razorback sucker), 2368 nucleotides long. RefSeq lists it as uncharacterized. The transcript has 4 exons. NCBI's taxonomy places the organism in Eukaryota, Metazoa, Chordata, Actinopteri, Cypriniformes, Catostomidae. The record is from RefSeq and is a predicted model, not a curated record.
CAUAGUGAAUGGAAAAAUGCAUGAAUACUACAUUCUACAUUACUACAUUCAAUGUUAUAGAAAAGAAUCUUCAUGACAGAAAUUCACAAAUACAUAUGAAAAAAGAUACAAUUUGAGACCAGAAACGUAACAUGUAACUGUAAAAGUAAAAAUCAAAUAAAAAACUAACUACAACAUGUUUGUAAGAAUGAUGUGAAUUAUGAACUAGGUUAAGUAUUUAAUAGGGCUGUCACGUGACAAAAGAACGAAGGACUCAGACUCGAAAGAUGAACUAAUCAUUUCUGUCUCUGCAUAGUGCUGUGCUAUGGGUUUGUGAGUCUGACUUGAAGAACGAACGACUCGAACCGAAGAGACGAACUAAUCAUUUCUCUUUCCGGUACUGACAGCAUAGUCUCUAUGGGACUGACAGGAAGAACGAAAGACUCGGACCCGGCCGAACCCAAACCCGAAGACUCGAGAGUCGAGACUUGAACUAAUCAUUUAUCUUUCCGGAUCCGGACCGGUAUGCUGCAUGUGCAUGCAGUCAGUGAGUGCAUUGGCUGCUGUGUCACACCACACGGCCCACACACAGACACUGACGAGUCGACAUCGACAACUAAGUAUUUUUAACGUUUUGAAGUUCGAACCCGAUGACACAAGAGGCGGAGAAAAAGGAGGGUUCCCAAACGUGAUUGGGUGCAUUGAUGGCACCCACAUUCCUAUUAAAGCUCCAUCUAUCAAUGAGGGAGACCAUGUUAAUAGGAAGUCUGUGCAUAGCAUCAAUGUGCAGGUAAUAGCUAUAUUUUGGCUCCUUAAUAUUGGUGUUACAAAUAAUAAACGUAUUGUUCUCCACAGGUAAUAUGUGACGCAACCCACCUCAUCACUAAUGUUGAGGCAAAAUGGCCUGGGUCUGUACAUGAUGCCAGAAUAUUUAGAGAGUCAUCUCUGUGCAACAAAUUUCAACAGAGUACGUUUUGUUAGACAAAUGCUUGUAGUCUUUAUUACAUUUACAAAACACCUCAAACAACACUUAUAUGGUUACUUGCUGGGGGACAGAGGAUACCCUUGCCUCCCCUAUAUGAUGACACCCUACCCUGAUCCUGAGCCCGGACUACAGACACGCUUCAACCUGUCUCACAGCAGAACACGGGCCAAGGUGGAGAUGACAAUAGGCAUUCUGAAGGCGAGGUUUCAGUGUCUGCGUGGGCUCAGGGUCACUCCAAAUAGGGCAUGUGACAUCACAGUUGCUUGUGUGGUACUUCACAACAUUGCCACAAUAAGAGGAGAGAGGCAUCCCCCCUGUCCUGAUGAAGAUGACCUAGAACAACACCCAUUGAAUCUAGCAGAUCACAGAAAUGGCAGAAUGCUUAGAGACAUGAUCUGUCAAAAUCACUUUAUUUAAUCUGUUCUAUUUCUUCAUAUCCUGAAAUAAAAGAGACAUGACAGAUUUGUAUUUAUUGCUUUAUACACACACACACAAAAAAUUCAAAUAACAGAUUCAUGUUCACAUAUGAUUCUUCUCACCUUAAGGCGAUGCUCCAGUACUAUUUCAAGUUUGGCCUUUUUAAUGGCCAGCCUUUUCUCCUCUAGCUGCUGUGAGACAGGUUGAAGCAUGUCUGUAGUCCGGGAUCAGGAUCAGGGUAUCACUGUAACCCUUUACUGUAAAUUUACAGGUAAUUUCUUACAGUAUUAUACUGUAUUUUCAUAAUACUACUUUUUACAGAACAGCUGUAAAUAUACAGCCCAAUUCUGUUUUCAUCCUGAUAAAUUCGUAAUACAGUAUCAUACUGUAAAGGCAUUGCAUUGUGGGAUUGAUUAUUUUUUUUCGCGCUCAGAUCAAACGUGACGUGAACAGACAGUACAGGCUAACUUGAUUUAAUUCCUUGUAUCAAUACAGUGUUUGUGAAUUUGUGAGCAAUCUUGCAGUCAUAUUUGCCGUGAUGCAGCAGAACAUUUUAACGCCACAUGAAGACGGGAGGAAGAAUCUGACAACUAAAUCUAACUUGCGCCGGUGACCAAAAGUGGAGUUUACAGCUUGACAAGAUUGUUCAACUGAGUGAUACGGUUUUGUAAUCUGAUGAUGGUCCAGUGCUAACACGCUUUCUUGACAUCAAUCCUGAACGUGGAUCAAAAACAAAGGAAAAGUAACUUCAAAGAAAACUGGCCAAGUUGUGCAAAAAAAGAACACCACUGUAAGCCCACAGGUUUCCUCACUUCUGCGAAAACUUGCAGACUUUGAAUGGAAUUUUGUUUAGAUCCCGUCAGCAAGUGCAUUAAAAGUAAACAAGAUUACUGCAUUAUUAAGUGCUAAGUGUUAACUUGUUGUUGUUAAAUUAACAUUUUACAUGUUUAAAAAAUAUGUAUUUAUAUAUAUAUAUAUAUAUAUAUA